Molecule: ribosomal RNA, 400 nt
Filed under: uncultured bacterium
Lineage: Bacteria
Description: bacterial SSU rRNA
Rfam family: Bacterial small subunit ribosomal RNA
Source: RNAcentral
UGGGGAAUAUUGCGCAAUGGGGGAAACCCUGACGCAGCAAUGCCGCGUGAGUGAGGAAGGAUUUCGGUCUGUAAAGCUCUGUUAAUGUGGAAGAAUGAGACGUGGUCUAAUAGGCCAUGUAAGUGACGGUACACAUAGAGGAAGCACCGGCUAACUUCGUGCCAGCAGCCGCGGUAAUACGAAGGGUGCAAGCGUUGUUCGGAUUUAUUGGGCGUAAAGCGCGCGCAGGCGGACCUGUAAGUCAGAUGUGAAAUCUCGGGGCUCAACUCCGAAACUGCGUCUGAAACUACAGGUCUAGAAUCUCGGAGAGGGAUGGGGUAUUUCACAUGUAGGGGUAAAAUCCGUAGAUAUGUGAAGGAACACCAGAGGCGAAGGCGCCAUCCUGGACGAGUAUUGACGC